RNAcentral lists this ribosomal RNA (480 nucleotides) under uncultured bacterium. RNAcentral describes it as "partial 16S ribosomal RNA". It matches the Rfam family "Bacterial small subunit ribosomal RNA", at positions 28 to 507 of the family's 1533-position model. The record is from RNAcentral.
GACGAACGCUGGCGGCGCGCUUAACACAUGCAAGUCGAGCGAUGAAACUUUAACAGAACCCUUCGGGGCGAAGAGAAAGUGGAGUAGCGGCGGACGGGUGAGUAACACGUGAGUAACCGGCCUUAGACAUGGGGAUAGCCUCGGGAAACCGGGAUUAAUACCAACUCAAAGCCGAAUGCCACAUGUCAUAACGCCCAAAACUCCGGUGGUCUAGGAUGGACGCGCGUCCCAUUAGCUAGUUGGUAGAGUAAAAGCCUACCAAGGCGACGGUGGGUAGCCGGGCUGAGAGGGUCGGCCGCCACUUUGGAGCUGGGAAGCAGUCCCGACUCCUACGGGAGGGAGGAAUGCGGAAUAUUGCAACGUGGAGGGAACUCUGAUGGAGCUACGCCGCGUGAACGAAGCAGGCUUUCGAGUCGUAAAGUUCUUUUAUAUGGGAAGAUAAUGACGGUACCAAAAGAAAAAGCCCCGGCUAACUACGUG